CGGAAUCUACUUUUUCGUGGGGGAUAACGUAGGGAAACUUACGCUAAUACCGCAUACGACCUACGGGUGAGAGCAGGGGAUCUUCGGACCUUGCGCGAUUGAAUGAGCCGAUGUCGGAUUAGCUAGUUGGCGGGGUAAAGGCCCACCAAGGCGACGAUCCGUAGCUGGUCUGAGAGGAUGAUCAGCCACACUGGAACCGAGACACGGUCCAGACUCCUACGGGAGGCAGCAGUGGGGAAUAUUGGACAAUGGGCGCAAGCCUGAUCCAGCCAUACCGCGUGGGUGAAGAAGGCCUUCGGGUUGUAAAGCCCUUUUGUUGGGAAAGAAAUCCAGCCGGCUAAUACCUGGUUGGGAUGACGGUACCCAAAGAAUAAGCACCGGCUAACUUCGUGCCAGCAGCCGCGGUAAUACGAAGGGUGCAAGCGUUACUCGGAAUUACUGGGCGUAAAGCGUGCGUAGGUGGUUGUUUAAGUCUGUUGUGAAAGCCCUGGGCUCAACCUGGGAACUGCAGUGGAAACUGGACGACUAGAGUGUGGUAGAGGGUAGCGGAAUUCCUGGU
This 559-nucleotide ribosomal RNA is filed under the name uncultured bacterium. RNAcentral's name for it is "bacterial SSU rRNA". It matches the Rfam family "Bacterial small subunit ribosomal RNA", at positions 119 to 674 of the family's 1533-position model. The record is from RNAcentral.